RNAcentral lists this ribosomal RNA (449 nucleotides) under uncultured bacterium. RNAcentral's name for it is "bacterial SSU rRNA". It matches the Rfam family "Bacterial small subunit ribosomal RNA", at positions 329 to 795 of the family's 1533-position model. The record is from RNAcentral.
UUCCAGACUCCUACGGGAGGCAGCAGUGGGGGAUAUUGCACAAUGGGGGAAACCCUGAUGCAGCAACGCCGCGUGAGUGAAGAAGGUCUUCGGAUUGUAAAGCUCUGUUCUUGGUGAAGAUAAUGACGGUAGCCAAGGAGAAAGCUCCGGCUAACUACGUGCCAGCAGCCGCGGUAAUACGUAGGGAGCGAGCGUUGUCCGGAUUUACUGGGUGUAAAGGGUGCGCAGGCGGCUCUGCAAGUCAGGCGUGAAAGCUAGGGGCUCAACCCCUAAAUUGCGCUUGAAACUGUGGAGCUUGAGUGAAGUAGAGGCAGGCGGAAUUCCCGGUGUAGCGGUGAAAUGCGUAGAUAUCAGGAGGAACACCGGCGGCGAAGGCGGCCUGCUGGACCGUGACUGACGUUGAGGCUCGAGAGCGUGGGGAGCAAACAGGAUUAGAUACCCCCGUAGAA